UGGGCGGGCGGAGGGGGCAGAGCCCUCGGCUCCGGCGUGCGAAUCCCCGGGGAGGGUCUGGGCUGGGGGGGGGGGGAAUCACGCCUGCGCAGCUCGCCUCUUCUCUCGAGCUGGCUCGGCUCCGCCCCCUAGGCCAGCGGGCACACCCAUUGGCCCGGAACACCCGGGGUUCCACCUCCCCCGCCUUUCGUCCUUGGUUAGUUUUGGCCGGAGCUUGGCGAGUGCUGUGCCAGCGUGGAAAGUGUGAACUUGGAGGUUGUUUCUAAAAUGCGGUCUCGCGUCUCGCCGCAGCCUGGGGAGCCGCAGCGCAGGGAGGUGGGAAGACCCGAGUUCAAAUUCGGCCCCAGACACUGUGUGACCCCGGGCAGGUUAUUUAGCCGCUGCCUGCCUCAGUUUCCCCAUGUGUAAAAUGUAGAUCACAAUGAUACCGACCUCCCACCGUGGUGAGAAUGAGAGAUGUUUGUGAAGCGCUUCCCGAACCUUAAAGCGCCGUAUAAACGCUAGCCAAAGAAAAAAGGAAAGAUAACUUGAUCCAGCCCGUACUGCCCGAUCCAGCAGUCACACAGUGCUUACCAGGGGCCUGGCACAGGGGCUGCAGAGACCCCCAGCUUCCUCUUCAAGUACAGCCUCAUCCCGGAAGGAGGGUGGUGUCCGUGCACAACAAAUAUUAACCAGAUCUGGUCACAGCUGUCCACAGCUGACUUUUUAUCUCCAUUUCCUUCUCUCUGCCUCAGUUUCUCCAUUUGUGAAAGGGGCAUGAGACACUUCCCUGCCCUACUGGGCUGUUAAGAUAGGGCUUUGUGAAGCCGCCUGGGAUUGCUGGCCGCUCCUCUUUCUCCCUAACCCCUUAACCUCUCUGUGCCAGUUUCCUUCAUUUAAAAUGAAUACUUUACUGGGGAUAUCACACGAUUCUUGCCAGGAAAGGGCCCUGUUGAUCUCAGCCUUCCCUGGAGGGGAGCUGUGUCUUUCCUUUCCUGUUCGGCCUUCUCCCCUCCCUUCCCCCGCAGUCCCUCUUACCCCUCCUUUCCUCCUCUUCCUGCCCCUUCAAUGUAAUAUCUCCAUCAGCCGGCUUUCCAAGCUUCAGUUUUGCCAGGUAGUGUUGGAGGAUCUGCUCCUUGUGCCGAACAACUCCCAGCUUUAUCCAGCUCUGCCUUCCCAGGACAUUGCCCUUGCCCAAGAGAAGAGAGAAUGGCCCCUGUGCUCCUGACAGCCCAUGUCCCUCAGGGGAUUCUGGAUCUAGAAUCCGAAGAAUUGGAGCUGGCCUCAGGUGAACUGACUUGCCCGAGGUCCCACAGCUAGGAGGUGUCUGAGGCUGCAUUUGAACUCGGGGCUUCCUGACGCCAGGCCGGCAUGCUGUGCCCUGUGCCACCUUGCCUCCCCUGUGGCCAGGAGUUCAGGGCUUCUAAUCAUUUCGUAUCACCUGCGCCUCAGCCCUUGAUUCCCGGUUGCCCCUGUGGCAUCCUGCGAGCCUUCAGAGUGACAGAGUUGGCCUCUCAGGGUCACAGAGAGAUUGAGGCCUUUAGCUGGGCUCUCACACUGUACUGCCCGCCUCAGCCCAGCACGGCAUAGAGAGGCGGGUUGCGCAGGUUUAUGAAAUUACUGUUCCAAAUUAAUGUUUGCUGAUCUUUUAUAAUCCUCUGUUCCACGCACCACGAUCCCAGCUUUCCAGAUUUUCCCUUUCCUGAGGGCUUUUUUCACAGCCACCAUCUUUGUUAAAAGAGUUGCCCUCGACUCUUGUCCCUUUUCCUAUGGGUGAGGACCAUCUUGCCAUCAGGGUGUCAUGCAGAGCCUUGGAUACUUCGCCCAUUUGGGGCGAUCUCCCAUCUCCAAACCUGUGUCCAUGUAUUCUUCACACAAAUUGAAUAAAUAUUCAUUGUUCACAAGUGGGCCA
This is a long non-coding RNA of Vombatus ursinus (common wombat), 1891 nucleotides long. The record is from Ensembl. NCBI's taxonomy places the organism in Eukaryota, Metazoa, Chordata, Mammalia, Diprotodontia, Vombatidae.